This 467-nucleotide ribosomal RNA is filed under the name uncultured bacterium. RNAcentral's name for it is "partial 16S ribosomal RNA". It matches the Rfam family "Bacterial small subunit ribosomal RNA", at positions 28 to 507 of the family's 1533-position model. The record is from RNAcentral.
GACGAACGCUGGCGGCGUGCUUAACACAUGCAAGUCAGGGGGCGGGGUAACCCGUAACCGGCGAACGGGUGCGGAACACGUGAGCGACCUGCCGUGGCGUGGGGGAUAGCCGGCCCAACGGCCGGGUAAUACGGCAUACUGCGCCCGCCUGGAAGCGGGAGGCGAAACUCGAAAGCGGCGCCAGGAGGGGAUGGUAGCCAAUCAGCCAGAUGGUGUGGUAACGGGGCUCCAAGCCGAUCAUGGGUAGCUGGUCUGAGUGGAUGGCCAGCGACAUUGGGACUGAAGGACGGCCCAGACUCCGACGGGGUGCGGCAGUGUGGAAGAUUGCGCAAUGGGCGAAACACUGACGCAGCGACGCCGCGUGAAGCAUGAGGGCCUUCGAAUGGUAAACUCCUGUAGCACGGGACGAUUGCCCCGCAUCAACGCGGUUGACGGUACCGUGAGAAGAAGCACCGGCUAACUCUGUG